ACAUACAUACAUACGUACGUACAUGCCGCUGUGACACCCGGGAUCAGGUGUGUGGACUCAUGUGUCCGAGUGAGGACUUGUUGAGGAGACGGUGAGGCGGCGGGUGGAGGUGGACGUGCCUGGUGGAUGCUGAGGAGCCGUCUCAUCAUCAUCCCAUCCAUCCUCCCAGAACAAAUAAAUGAGUCAACAUGGCCGCGGAGCAGCUCGUCCUGUAGCACCGACGAGACAGCGAAUUUAACAUCACUCAGCUUUUCAGAUCAAAUGGCGUUCAUGUCCCGGUUCUCUCGGUCCCGGAGCAGCUCCAGGUCUCCGAACCGAAAAGAGACCGAGCGCGUCUCCCCACACCUGACGGUCUCCGAGCUGGAGAGGCUCCUGUGUACGGGCAAAACCGCCUGUAACCAUGCGGACGAGGUGUGGCCACGACUCUACAUCGGAGAUCAAGAUAUUGCGUCAGACCGCCGUGAGCUGGCCAAACUCGGCAUCACACACAUCCUCAACUGUGCCCAGAGCAAGUGGCGCGGUGGAGCCGAGUACUACGCCGGGAUGAACAUCACCUACCACGGCAUCGAGGCUCACGACUCCCCGACGUUUGACAUGAGCGUCAACUUCUAUCCUGCAGCUGAGUUCAUCCACAAAGCCCUGACAAGCGGAGGUAAGGUGCUGGUGCACUGCACUGUGGGAGUGAGCCGAUCAGCCACUCUGGUGCUGGCCUACCUGAUGAUCCGACAAAACCUGACGCUGGUGGAGGCCAUCAAAACGGUCAAGGACCACCGAGGCGUCACCCCUAACCGGGGUUUCCUCCGCCAACUCAACGGCCUGGACGGCAUCCUGAGAGAGAGUCGUAAGACGCCGCAGCAGAGCUGAAAACUUCCCGACCCUCAGAGGCAGCAGCCAGUCUGGUUACAGGGAGGUAACGGGACCAAGUUAGGACAAGCUGUCUGACUCUGUAGCAGCAGGUUUUCUGGACACCUCUCAUGCUCUGCAGGAAUCCUUAACAGGUCUUCAAGUCUCAUUUCUGCUGCAUUUCUUUGACAGGAAAUUUCUAGAAAUGACCUGAUAAAGGUCUGAAGACCAACAAACAAAAUAAGAUUUUAGGACCAAGAUGUAAAUAAUUGCUAACAGUAUUGCCACUGCCCUCUCGUGUCUCCGGUAAAAUCACAAACGCAGUGAGAGAUUAUCUGCAGUGUUCCUGUCAGCCAGCCUGGAUGCUCACAGUUGGGAUUCAAGGGGCUGAUUUUGCAAGGAACCCUGAAACGACCACACGUGUCCCUGAGCACACGUGGGCCGUCGUGUCUUUUGUAGUCAAAACUGAGGUAAGAUCUGCGACGAAUAUCGGCCAUCUCGCUCCCCGUAGUUUGCAGGUCUUCCCUCGACUUACUUUUUUACAUUCAGCAAGUGUCAUUAAGUGCUCUGAACAACUCACACACUAGUUGUAGCCCAGGUCUAAACCAGCACAGUUAUGUAGCCCGUCGAUUACAGUACUACAGUGUUGUACACAAUUAUUAUCUGUGACGAGUUUGUGAAUAGCAACAUACAAUACACAGCGUGAGUCCUGUUUUAAAUCCAGUGUUGAAUAAGUUCAGUGUCCAGUCCGGUGUAUUUCAAAUAUCCACGGUCCUUCUUCACUCCUUUGUGUUAGAUAUGUUGUGCGUGAUGAUCUGACAUUCAUCUCGUAGAUCAAGCAGUACUGAAGCCCGUUCGGACAGGAUUAUCAUCACGGGGGAGGUGAGGGAUGAAGUAUUCGCCAUGCCCCUCAGAAGUCAUAGCUCAGUCAAAUGUGAACACACAAUCACAAAUUACAUAUUUUUAGAUUCGGGGUGAAUUGCGCUUCAAUUAUCACAUUUUCGAGUUUUCUUCAGUACCAGAGUAAUUCAGUGCGAGUGGUCUGUUCACCCAUGGCUACACCACAAACAACAACUAAUUCGACCUAAAUUUACACAGUUUGACCAGAUGUAAACAUAUAUAGGCUAAAACGAAUCAUUUCUCCAAGGAGCGUUUCAGCACCUCGCUGCAGCUCAUCCACUUCAGAAUACCAAGACGUUGCUCCAGGCAGGAUUUAAAUUACUCAUGAGGAGCAGCCGCUUCACACAGCAACUACAGGUGACUGCAGAGGUGAUUAUUACUGGGGUGAAGGUGAAAAAUGAUCCACAAAUGUGUCAAAGUCACCCCCACAGCCCCAAGAGAAAUAAAUCCAGUCCGAAUGGUGCUUUAGACUCAGCAUGGUACAUCGUACGUAACGUGGCUAUGAAACAACCUCCAGUGUGGUGUGUCGCGUCAGCUUCACAGUGACUGUUAGCUGUCUAGAGUAGGACUCUAAGUGAUAAUUUAAUAUGCCAGCACAAAAAGCAUUUAGAGUAGACAAGCAGUGGGAGAUAAUACCACAAAUGUGCCAUUGCAAAAGCUACCAACUGCCCGGGCGACAGGAGAGCGCACCGCUCUUUGGUCCAGGUGUUCAGUGAGGCUCGUGUUCUCACGCUUGUGAAGAACAAAACGUGAUCCAAUGCUGAAGUUUAAGACUCUUUACAGAUACCUGUGUGUGUGUGUGUGUGUGUGUGUUAUUACCUUUACUGUUACAGUAUCACAUGUUUUUUUGUGACUCGUGGUCUUCGUCUGUGCCGUUUCAAUGCCACCAUGAUGACGUGUGGCUGAAGAGACAGAAGAGAUGAG
Molecule: RNA transcript, 2667 nt
Organism: Scatophagus argus
Lineage: Eukaryota; Metazoa; Chordata; Actinopteri; Scatophagidae
Gene name: dual specificity protein phosphatase 26
Exons: 5
Source: RefSeq, a predicted model, not a curated record